UAAGGCCGAGAGCUGAUGACGAGUUACCCUUUGGGUGACGAAGUGGUUGAUGCCAUGCUUCCAAGAAAAGCUUCUAAGCUUCAGGUAACCAGGAACCGUACCCCAAACCGACACAGGUGGUUGGGUAGAGAAUACCAAGGCGCUUGAGAGAACUCGGGUGAAGGAACUAGGCAAAAUGGCACCGUAACUUCGGGAGAAGGUGCGCCGGUGAGGGUGAAGCACUUGCUGCGUAAGCCCACGCCGGUCGAAGAUACCAGGCCGCUGCGACUGUUUAUUAAAAACACAGCACUCUGCAAACACGAAAGUGGACGUAUAGGGUGUGACGCCUGCCCGGUGCCGGAAGGUUAAUUGAUGGGGUUAGCUAACGCGAAGCUCUUGAUCGAAGCCCCGGUAAACGGCGGCCGUAACUAUAACGGUCCUAAGGUAGCGAAAUUCCUUGUCGGGUAAGUUCCGACCUGCACGAAUGGCGUAACGAUGGCGGCGCUGUCUCCACCCGAGACUCAGUGAAAUUGAAAUCGCUGUGAAGAUGCAGUGUAUCCGCGGCUAGACGGAAAGACCCCGUGAACCUUUACUAUAGCUUUGCACUGGACUUUGAAUUUGCUUGUGUAGGAUAGGUGGGAGGCUUUGAAGCGUGGACGCCAGUUCGCGUGGAGCCAUCCUUGAAAUACCACCCUGGCAACUUUGAGGUUCUAACUCAGGUCCGUUAUCCGGAUCGAGGACAGUGUAUGGUGGGUAGUUUGACUGGGGCGGUCUCCUCCUAAAGAGUAACGGAGGAGUACGAAGGUGCGCUCAGACCGGUCGGAAAUCGGUCGUAGAGUAUAAAGGCAAAAGCGCGCUUGACUGCGAGACAGACACGUCGAGCAGGUACGAAAGUAGGUCUUAGUGAUCCGGUGGUUCUGUAUGGAAGGGCCAUCGCUCAACGGAUAAAAGGUACUCCGGGGAUAACAGGCUGAUACCGCCCAAGAGUUCAUAUCGACGGCGGUGUUUGGCACCUCGAUGUCGGCUCAUCACAUCCUGGGGCUGAAGCCGGUCCCAAGGGUAUGGCUGUUCGCCAUUUAAAGUGGUACGCGAGCUGGGUUUAGAACGUCGUGAGACAGUUCGGUCCCUAUCUGCCGUGGACGUUUGAGAUUUGAGAGGGGCUGCUCCUAGUACGAGAGGACCGGAGUGGACGAACCUCUGGUGUUCCGGUUGUCACGCCAGUGGCAUUGCCGGGUAGCUAUGUUCGGAAAAGAUAACCGCUGAAAGCAUCUAAGCGGGAAACUUGCCUCAAGAUGAGAUCUCACUGGGACCUUGAGUCCCCUGAAGGGCCGUCGAAGACUACGACGUUGAUAGGCAGGGUGUGUAAGCGCUGUGAGGCGUUGAGCUAACCUGUACUAAUUGCCCGUGAGGCUUGACCAUA
This 1399-nucleotide ribosomal RNA is filed under the name Pseudomonas sp. NFACC24-1. RNAcentral's name for it is "bacterial LSU rRNA". It matches the Rfam family "Bacterial large subunit ribosomal RNA", at positions 1551 to 2925 of the family's 2925-position model. RNAcentral also lists the same sequence under 5 other names. The record is from RNAcentral. Lineage: Bacteria; Pseudomonadati; Pseudomonadota; Gammaproteobacteria; Pseudomonadales; Pseudomonadaceae.